CUCUCUGUUGCUCAGGUGGUUAAAGCGCUGCACAGGAAUUGCAGGGCAGCAGGUUUGAUUCCUGCCAGAGUGC
Non-coding RNA from Paramuricea clavata, 73 nucleotides. NCBI's taxonomy places the organism in Eukaryota, Metazoa, Cnidaria, Anthozoa, Malacalcyonacea, Plexauridae. The record is from the annotation of a GenBank genome assembly.